Molecule: ribosomal RNA, 252 nt
Filed under: uncultured bacterium
Lineage: Bacteria
Description: partial 16S ribosomal RNA
Rfam family: Bacterial small subunit ribosomal RNA
Source: RNAcentral
UACGUAGGGAGCGAGCGUUAUCCGGAUUUAUUGGGUGUAAAGGGUGCGUAGGCGGUCUAUUAAGUCUGUGGUCUAAGCCCGAAGCUUAACUUCGGUUCGCCACAGAAACUGAUUGACUUGAGUAUGGUAGAGGCAAGUGGAAUUUCUAGUGUAGCGGUUAAAUGCGUAGAUAUUAGAAGGAACACCAGUGGCGAAGGCGACUUGCUGGGCCAUCACUGACGCUGAGGCACGAAAGCGUGGGGAGCAAAUAGG